GCCUUCGUGGUGUAAUGGUCAGCACACUGAGCCGGUAUUUCAGAGGUCCGCGGUUCGAUUCCCGGUGAAGGCG
Non-coding RNA from Stegodyphus mimosarum, 73 nucleotides. Lineage: Eukaryota; Metazoa; Arthropoda; Arachnida; Araneae; Eresidae. The record is from Rfam.